GGGCGCGCGCCGGGCGGGAGCGGCGGCGCUGCGUGUGAGGAGACCGAGUUUGUGUCCUGAGGGGACGGACCCUCAAUAUUCCUGCCCAUUGCUGGAUGUUCCUGUGAGAACAAGAUGCCAUCUUGUGGUUGGAUUUUCUUCUCCCAAACCCGAGCUUGCUUUUCCGAGAAACUAGUUCAACUGUCCUGACAGCUUGAGAAAGCAAAAUAAUUAAACCUGCAUUUUUGGAUUUAAUUAUGAACUCAAGUGCUCAACUAAGACCUACAGACUUUUACAAUAAAACCUGGACAGUUUCAAGCUGGCAUGCCCAAGGAAAACAGCUUGCUCUGAAUGCACAUUAAGGGUUGGCCAGUGUAUGUGUAAAGCAGAGGUGCUACAGCACCAUUUCAUAGCCAACGAGCAUCAGGACCAGAGAAGAAAGCAGAGGACAUGAUGGCAGUUCCAUUUCUCUUGGGUGCAUCCUCAUCCAUGUCAGCCAAGGCACAGCCACCGGCGCUCUGGGCUUUGCUCAGACAUGCCACAUGAAAAGCCCUCACCAAGCCCUUUCCCAGCUCACUGCUUUUCGUGAGAAGCAGCCUUUUCCCUCAGCUGACACAGAUACGUGGACAUAUCUCCAACAGGGUGGGUGCAAAGUCUCUCCAAAGACAGACCUGCCUUGCGGCAGGUGUCCCCAGGCCAUGCCUGGAGUUCUUCUCAUGCUGUGACAUCUUCAGUCCUUCCUUGGCUGGUCAUGCAGAGCUGUGAGUGCAGGCCUUGGUCCCUGGUGGUCUCUAACAGGUUAAGCCCCUGUCCUGGUUCAGGGAAAAUUUGGGAGAGAACCCCAAAAUGGGUUCUUCUACAAAGCAGAGUCGGUCAGCCUCUCCCCUAGC
Molecule: long non-coding RNA, 869 nt
Filed under: Taeniopygia guttata (zebra finch)
Lineage: Eukaryota; Metazoa; Chordata; Aves; Passeriformes; Estrildidae
Description: lncRNA (ENSTGUG00000025724.1)
Source: RNAcentral